RNAcentral lists this ribosomal RNA (478 nucleotides) under uncultured bacterium. RNAcentral's name for it is "partial 16S ribosomal RNA". It matches the Rfam family "Bacterial small subunit ribosomal RNA", at positions 28 to 523 of the family's 1533-position model. The record is from RNAcentral.
GACGAACGCUGGCGGCGUGCUUAACACAUGCAAGUCGAACGGGAAGGCCCUUCGGGGUACACGAGUGGCGAACGGGUGAGUAACACGUGUGUGAUCUGCCCUGCACUUCGGGAUAAGCCUGGGAAACUGGGUCUAAUACCGGAUAGGACCACUGCCUGCAUGGGUGGUGGUGGAAAGCUUUUGCGGUGUGGGAUGGGCCCGCGGCCGAUCAGCUUGUUGGUGGGGUGAUGGCCUACCAAGGCGUCGACGGGUAGCCGGCCUGGGAGGGUGACCGGCCACACUGGGACUGAGAUACGGCCCAGACUCCUACGGGAGGCAGCAGUGGGGAAUAUUGCACAAUGGGCGCAAGCCUGAUGCAGCGACGCCGCGUGAGGGAUGACGGCCUUCGGGUUGUAAACCUCUUUCAGCACCGACGAAGCGCAAGUGACGGUAGGUGCAGAAGAAGGACCGGCCAACUACGUGCCAGCCGCCGCCGUAA